Helianthus annuus (common sunflower) is the source of this 383-nucleotide long non-coding RNA. RefSeq lists it as uncharacterized. The record is from RefSeq and is a predicted model, not a curated record. Lineage: Eukaryota; Viridiplantae; Streptophyta; Magnoliopsida; Asterales; Asteraceae. The transcript has 3 exons.
UUAUGAUUUUAUAUUACAUAUAAAGUAUACACCCAGGUUAUUGAAUACAAAAAGACAGACACUUCAUACUUCAUCAAGCUUCAUGUAUAUGGAGGUGUAAAAGGGUGGGUACGAGAAAAGUUAUUCAUUUGGAGAUAGACAUUUAUUUGGCCUAUUGAUGCAGAGGAAAUAUUUGAGGAGGUAUUGUUUGACAGGAUUGGGCAGCAAACUUUAAGGGCUCGGAUGUUUUCAACCCGCGCAAAAGAUUUAAAUUGAUUGCGUUUAUCUAUACUAUCGUAUAAAGCAUUUCACAAGGGUUCCAACCAAAUUUAAAUAAUUGCAACAUAUUAUGCUUAUAGUACAACAACUCAAUGAAGUUAGUAAAGGGAAUUAGUCUUUCUACA